RNAcentral lists this ribosomal RNA (520 nucleotides) under Clostridium muellerianum. Its description in RNAcentral is "Clostridium sp. P21 partial 23S ribosomal RNA". It matches the Rfam family "Bacterial large subunit ribosomal RNA", at positions 1 to 524 of the family's 2925-position model. The record is from RNAcentral. Lineage: Bacteria; Bacillati; Bacillota; Clostridia; Eubacteriales; Clostridiaceae.
AGGUCAAGCUACAAAGGGCGCAUGGUGAAUGCCUUGGCACCAGUAGCCGAUGAAGGACGCGAUAAGCUGCGAUAAGCUUUGGGUAGGCGCAAAUAGCCUGUGAUCCAGAGAUUUCCGAAUGGGGAAACCCACAAUACUAACGUAUUGUACUGUAAACUGAAUACAUAGGUUUAUGGAGGUAGACCCGGGGAACUGAAACAUCUAAGUACCCGGAGGAAGAGAAAGAAAAAUCGAUUUUCUAAGUAGCGGCGAGCGAAAGGGAAAGAGCCCAAACCAGGAACUUGUUCCUGGGGUUGCGGAUAGGUCAUAACUAAAAGCAGGAAUUAAUUGAAGAGAGCUGGAAGGCUCCGCCAUAGAAGGUAAUAGCCCUGUAAGUGAAAAUGGAAGCUUUUAAGAUCUACUCCAGAGUACCACGAGACACGUGAAACCUUGUGGGAAGCUGGGAGGACCACCUCCCAAGGCUAAAUACUAACUGGUGACCGAUAGUGAAGCAGUACCGUGAGGGAAAGGUGAAAAGAAC